AAAUUUAUAAUCAUACUCCAAAGUUGAUUUAGAAAAGAUAAAAUUGAAGAAUAUUGACCUUAAGAUAAUUGCCCUUCUGGAAAAGAAAGGGGGAGUCAAAAAGAAUCUAGCUUUCAAUUAUCCUCAGCAUCAAUACUUCAUUUUAACUUGAUUCAAAUUCAGUUGAUAUGCUAAAAUCAUUUAAGAACUAUAAAGAUCAAUCUUAUGCACAAGGAAAGAACUGAAAAUUGAAUACUUUGAGUGAUGCACAUUGUAUCUAAUUCUAAUCAAAACAUUAUACUUGUACAUCUGAUCAACACUGUGUAUAUGUUUAAAUCUCAAAUUUUGCAUAUACUCAGUGUUUUGUCAUCAUCAAAAAGGGGGAGAUUGUUGACCCCCUAAUAGAUUUUGAUGAAUACAAAACACUAGAGUAAAAUUCCAUUAUAUCUUAA
RNAcentral lists this long non-coding RNA (431 nucleotides) under Phoenix dactylifera (date palm). RNAcentral describes it as "long non-coding RNA (PDAC_LNC022532)". Lineage: Eukaryota; Viridiplantae; Streptophyta; Magnoliopsida; Arecales; Arecaceae. The record is from RNAcentral.